RNAcentral lists this transfer RNA (76 nucleotides) under Gemmatimonadales bacterium. Its description in RNAcentral is "tRNA-Glu". It matches the Rfam family "tRNA". From Rfam's summary of the family: Transfer RNA (tRNA) molecules are approximately 80 nucleotides in length. Their secondary structure includes four short double-helical elements and three loops (D, anti-codon, and T loops). The record is from RNAcentral. Lineage: Bacteria; Pseudomonadati; Gemmatimonadota; Gemmatimonadia; Gemmatimonadales.
GUCCCUGUCGUCCAGUGGCCUAGGAUCCUGGGACCUCACCCCAGAGACGCCGGUUCAAAUCCGGCCAGGGACACCA